AGUGAAGAUUUACUAUUUUACUUUUAAAUGACAGGGAAGUGAAGCUGGAGCAGAGAAGGUUGAAGGAGAAAAUGAAGGAAUUCAACAAAAAGGAAGCCAAAUUUUAUGGAAACAUGUUUGCGAAAUUAACUAAGGAAUCAUCAAAAGAUGGAGAAGCCAUAAGUACCUGAGUCUUGAAAACGUUCCAAGAACUCUGCAUUUUCAGUUUCUUGCUUCUUUUGGUUUGUUGCAAUGUUUUUCUUAGUUUUUCGUCCUGAGCUUUAGUGAGAGAUUUAUAAAACAGGGACUUCUAUGAUGAGAACAUUUGAUUCCAGUUAGAGAUUAAUCGCAUGUGUUGUUUUUUUCGUCUAGUUGUUGGUAGAACGUGGAGCUAUGAACAUGGAACUUUCAAGAUUAAUUUGAGUUCUUAAUAUGAUAUUGAGUCACGUUUUUGUC
Molecule: long non-coding RNA, 435 nt
Organism: Arabidopsis lyrata subsp. lyrata
Lineage: Eukaryota; Viridiplantae; Streptophyta; Magnoliopsida; Brassicales; Brassicaceae
Exons: 2
Source: RefSeq, a predicted model, not a curated record